Molecule: ribosomal RNA, 159 nt
Filed under: Cyllamyces sp. CB3B1
Lineage: Eukaryota; Fungi; Neocallimastigomycota; Neocallimastigomycetes; Neocallimastigales; Neocallimastigaceae
Description: 5.8S ribosomal RNA
Rfam family: 5.8S ribosomal RNA
About the family: 5.8S ribosomal RNA (5.8S rRNA) is a component of the large subunit of the eukaryotic ribosome. It is transcribed by RNA polymerase I as part of the 45S precursor that also contains 18S and 28S rRNA.
Source: RNAcentral
CAACUUUUGACAAUGGAUCUCUUGGUUCUCGCAACGAUGAAGAACGCAGCAAAAUGCGAUAAGUAAUGUGAAUUGCAGAAUACGUGAAUCAUCGAAUCUUCGAACGCAUAUUGCACUUUUUUGGUUUACCAAAAAAGUAUGUCUGUUUGAGUAUCAGUA